AGAGUUUGAUUCUGGCUCAGGAUGAACGCUGGCGGCGUGCCUAACACAUGCAAGUCGAGCGAUUCUCUUCGGAGAAGAGCGGCGGACGGGUGAGUAACGCGUGGGUAACCUGCCUCAUACACAUGGAUAACAUACCGAAAGGUAUGCUAAUACAGGAUAAUAUAAGAGAUUCACAUGGAUUUCUUAUCAAAGCUCCGGCGGUAUGAGAUGGACCCGCGUCUGAUUAGCUAGUUGGUAAGGUAACGGCUUACCAAGGCGACGAUCAGUAGCCGACCUGAGAGGGUGAUCGGCCACAUUGGAACUGAGACACGGUCCAAACUCCUACGGGAGGCAGCAGUGGGGAAUAUUGCACAAUGGGCGAAAGCCUGAUGCCAGCAACGCCGCGUGAGUGAUGAAGGCCUUCGGGUCGUAAAACUCUGUCCUCAAGGAAGAUAAUGACGGUACUUGAGGAGGAAGCCCCGGCUAACUACGUGCCAGCCGCAGC
Molecule: ribosomal RNA, 484 nt
Filed under: uncultured bacterium
Lineage: Bacteria
Description: bacterial SSU rRNA
Rfam family: Bacterial small subunit ribosomal RNA
Source: RNAcentral